GACGAACGCUGGCGGCGUGCUUAACACAUGCGAGUCGAACGGAAAGGCCCGGCUUUUGUGGGGUGCUCGAGUGGCGAACGGGUGAGUAACACGUGAGUAACCUGCCCUUGACUUUGGGAUAACUUCAGGAAACUGGGGCUAAUACCGGAUAGGAGCUCCUGCUGCAUGGUGGGGGUUGGAAAGUUUCGGCGGUUGGGGAUGGACUCGCGGCUUAUCAGCUUGUUGGUGGGGUAGUGGCUUACCAAGGCUUUGACGGGUAGCCGGCCUGAGAGGGUGACCGGCCACAUUGGGACUGAGAUACGGCCCAGACUCCUACGGGAGGCAGCAGUGGGGAAUAUUGCACAAUGGGCGGAAGCCUGAUGCAGCAACGCCGCGUGCGGGAUGACGGCCUUCGGGUUGUAAACCGCUUUCGCCUGUGACGAAGCGUGAGUGACGGUAAUGGGUAAAGAAGCACCGGCUAACUACGUG
Molecule: ribosomal RNA, 468 nt
Filed under: uncultured bacterium
Lineage: Bacteria
Description: partial 16S ribosomal RNA
Rfam family: Bacterial small subunit ribosomal RNA
Source: RNAcentral